This 1370-nucleotide ribosomal RNA is filed under the name uncultured beta proteobacterium. RNAcentral describes it as "bacterial SSU rRNA". It matches the Rfam family "Bacterial small subunit ribosomal RNA", at positions 27 to 1398 of the family's 1533-position model. The record is from RNAcentral. Lineage: Bacteria; Pseudomonadati; Pseudomonadota; Betaproteobacteria.
GAUUGAACGCUGGCGGCAUGCCUUACACAUGCAAGUCGAACGGCAGCACGGGUGCUUGCACCUGGUGGCGAGUGGCGAACGGGUGAGUAAUACAUCGGAACAUGUCCUGUAGUGGGGGAUAGCCCGGCGAAAGCCGGAUUAAUACCGCAUACGAUCUACGGAUGAAAGCGGGGGACCUUCGGGCCUCGCGCUAUAGGGUUGGCCGAUGGCUGAUUAGCUAGUUGGUGGGGUAAAGGCCUACCAAGGCGACGAUCAGUAGCUGGUCUGAGAGGACGACCAGCCACACUGGGACUGAGACACGGCCCAGACUCCUACGGGAGGCAGCAGUGGGGAAUUUUGGACAAUGGGCGAAAGCCUGAUCCAGCAAUGCCGCGUGUGUGAAGAAGGCCUUCGGGUUGUAAAGCACUUUUGUCCGGAAAGAAAUCCUUGGCUCUAAUACAGUCGGGGGAUGACGGUACCGGAAGAAUAAGCACCGGCUAACUACGUGCCAGCAGCCGCGGUAAUACGUAGGGUGCGAGCGUUAAUCGGAAUUACUGGGCGUAAAGCGUGCGCAGGCGGUUUGCUAAGACCGAUGUGAAAUCCCCGGGCUCAACCUGGGAACUGCAUUGGUGACUGGCAGCUAGAGUAUGGCAGAGGGGGGUAGAAUUCCACGUGUAGCAGUGAAAUGCGUAGAGAUGUGGAGGAAUACCGAUGGCGAAGGCAGCCCCCUGGGCCAAUACUGACGCUCAUGCACGAAAGCGUGGGGGAGCAAACAGAUUAGAUACCCUGGUAGUCCACGCCCUAACGAUGUCAACUAGUUGUUGGGGAUUCAUUUCCUUUAGUAACGUAGCUAACGCGUGAAGUUGACCGCUGGGGAGUACGGUCGCAAGAUUAAAACUCAAAGGAAUUGACGGGGACCCGCACAAGCGGUGGAUGAUGUGGAUUAAUUCGAUGCAACGCGAAAAACCUUACCUACCCUUGACAUGGUCGGAAUCCCGCUGAGAGGUGGGAGUGCUCGAAAGAGAACCGGCGCACAGGUGCUGCAUGGCUGUCGUCAGCUCGUGUCGUGAGAUGUUGGGUUAAGUCCCGCAACGAGCGCAACCCUUGUCCUUAGUUGCUACGCAAGAGCACUCUAAGGAGACUGCCGGUGACAAACCGGAGGAAGGUGGGGAUGACGUCAAGUCCUCAUGGCCCUUAUGGGUAGGGCUUCACACGUCAUACAAUGGUCGGAACAGAGGGUUGCCAACCCGCGAGGGGGAGCUAAUCCCAGAAAACCGAUCGUAGUCCGGAUUGCACUCUGCAACUCGAGUGCAUGAAGCUGGAAUCGCUAGUAAUCGCGGAUCAGCAUGCCGCGGUGAAUACGUUCCCGGGUCUUGUACUCACCGCCCGUC